Molecule: RNA transcript, 1226 nt
Organism: Hippocampus comes (tiger tail seahorse)
Lineage: Eukaryota; Metazoa; Chordata; Actinopteri; Syngnathiformes; Syngnathidae
Gene: dexi
Gene name: Dexi homolog (mouse)
Exons: 2
Source: RefSeq, a predicted model, not a curated record
AAGAUGACGUUAGAUCAAUGACGUGUGUCACUUUAUGCAGUCCGCAAUGUUUUGAUGCAGUUGGUAACUGUUGGUAUAAGACGUGUGGGCGUUAAAACGGAGUCGUGUGUUUGUGGGUAGUGCUUGUUUUCGUAGGUACGAAUCUACAUAUAGAAAUAUUACAUGUAUUCUGUUUGGGUUUCUGUCUUUGCUAACGUUGCGCGAGACUGUUUUUAGCUACGCACGGCCACUUGGCAUGGCUUGAAUUCCGCAAAGCCAGACUCCCAAUGUCAAGAAUCUUACCAGUGAUCUACUGUGAUAUUUUGAUACUGCUAGUGCACUAUUAUUAGGCAUGCACGCGAGACUCUUUUGUGCGCACGUUUUAUUACCUUUUUCCUUCGUCAGUGUACAGCUAUUAUAGUGCACAACACUUUUUCGAGUCGGAACUGGCGAAAAGUGCGUCCGAAGCUCACCGGACAUGCAGACUUCUAGCGAUGUCAGCUUCUCACCUUGUUUAACCAUGACACUCAAACACUGGAUCGCCUAAACCGUGAUUUUCUUCUCUAUGAUCCACACAAUUUAUGCCCAGUUGGAUUCAGUAGAAUCGCUUUUGGACGAGCACCCCUAUAUGUUUUAUCUGGGCCUAUUCUUUGUGAACGUCCUCAUCCUCUACUACGCCUUUCUGAUGGAGUACAUCGUCCUGAAUGUGGGGAUAGUAUUUAUGCCUGAGGAUAUGGACCGGGCUCUGGUGGACCUCGGGGUUCUUUCUGAUCCGGCAUCCCUGCCCUACGACUCGGACACAGACUUGGAUGUGUUUGAAGGGUAUCUGGAGUGACAUGGAUUGGAUUAUGAUGCUGGUGAAGAUGAUGGAGAGGUCAGGGACAAAUGAGGCCUGUUUCCCGGACGUCUGUUCUUUUUGGAUAGAGAGGAAUAAGGUCAGCAGUUUUGGAAUGUUCACUGGUCAUCUCAGCGUGAAGAUGACCAUCACCAAAGGCAACUUUUCAACCAUCAUCUCUUGGAGAGACUCAUUCUUUGACUUCGCCGCCACCUGGACGUCCACACAAGCAUUUGUGUCCUUCUCUUGGCACAUAUUGACAGAAAAAAAGGCUGUAUUUUGUGCUGCAUGCGAGACGACAUUGCGACUGUGGAUUCAGAGUACAAUAUCGAUCCAGACAGAAGAAGCUCGGUGCAAAUCAUAUGCAAUCAGAUCAGUCGAUUGCACCAAAAGACGCAAGUCAUCUUGACUU